UGUGGCUGCUGCAGGCAACCUGUGCAUAAACACUCCGAUCAAAUCGUUUACCAACGCGGUUGAAACAGUUUUACGUUGGGUAGGUAUAUUACGCUAGAACCGGUCAGAUUAGACCCGAUCGUUGGACUGCCUGGCGGCAGCCUGAAAAGAAAGUCACAGCGAAAUUAAACCACGCACUGAGAUGAGGUAAUACAUAUCGCAUGGGUAUAAAUGAGAUAAUUUUUCCUCGGCCUGGAGAGCGAGCGCUUCGAGCCGUGGCAUGGGAAGGGAAGUGAAACUGGAACUUGGUGACUCUCGAGGAGGAAAUGAAGCUGUCAAUUCCGAUCGAAGAAGUGGGACUUGCUGUGCGUAAACCGCUGCGUCGCCUUUUGCUGAAAGCGACUUAGAGACGGGAUGAUGUUAUGUUUACGCGGAAGUCGAUAAAUAAAGUAGAGCAAAGCGUCUAGAGAUGAAGCAGCUGUUUUUAUACAUUGUGUGUUUUAUUGAUCCGGUCGAUUCUGGCAAUGAUUGUAUAACAACUCAUAGAAAAGUAGCAACAUCUACUAUUGAA
Wyeomyia smithii (pitcher-plant mosquito) is the source of this 550-nucleotide long non-coding RNA. RefSeq lists it as uncharacterized. Lineage: Eukaryota; Metazoa; Arthropoda; Insecta; Diptera; Culicidae. The transcript is spliced from 2 exons. The record is from RefSeq and is a predicted model, not a curated record.